GUCACCAGCGAGCACCUGUGGAGGUCGGGGAUAGGGUAAGGGGCUGCUCUGUUGUUGCCCCACCUUUGCAGUCCUGGCGCCACAGGCCGCUAAGCGCUAGGAUGACAGAUGCGCAGCGUCAACACGGGCUGCAGAGGAGCGUUCUGCACACCUUGGAGCACUCUGGCUCGGCGGGCAGCCGUUAGACUCCCACUUCUGCAGGGACCGAAGCUUGGCUUGCUGGUCCAGGCCACACCACAGAUACAUACUCAACUACAACAAGGUCUCACAGCACAUCGUUAUCAACUGUGGCAUUCUACUUUCAGCUCCACACAGCUUAUUCCCUGAUGGCUCCAUUCCUCAACCUGCAGGGAAAGAAUCAGUGUCUUCGGUUUGGGCAAGCGCAGAAGGCUAGAGGUGUUAAACGGCCUGCCCAAGUUCAACCCACAGCAGAGCGGGGCGCCUGGUGCUUGCUUCGGCUCUCGGCAAGCAGGUGAGAGACUGGGGAACUGGCUCCGUUCCAUCUGGGGAUUCCUCAGCCAGGUGGGUCUGGUCUCCGAGCCUGACUUGAACGUGUGCACCAGGCCCAGAGGAACUAACAACGCAGGGGUGAGUCACCCUGGCUCAUUGCAGCAGGAGACCCCCUCCUCCCUGCCACUUGGGCCAAGGCCUGGUUGCCCAGCAACGAGACAUAAUAUAUAUAAAUAAAAUGCAGCUUCUC
Mesocricetus auratus (golden hamster) is the source of this 700-nucleotide long non-coding RNA. RefSeq lists it as uncharacterized. NCBI's taxonomy places the organism in Eukaryota, Metazoa, Chordata, Mammalia, Rodentia, Cricetidae. The transcript has 3 exons. The record is from RefSeq and is a predicted model, not a curated record.